GAUGAAGAACGCAGCGAAAUGCGAUAAGUAAUGUGAAUUGCAGAAUUCAGUGAAUCAUCGAAUCUUUGAACGCACCUUGCACCCUUUGGCAUUCUGAAGGGUAUGCUCGUUUGAGUGUCAUUGUACUCUCACACUCCCGAUCUUUGCAUUGGGAGCAGUGGACUUGGGUUUGCUGCUUCACCGUCGCUUACCUCAAAUAGGUUAGUGCAACUCUUGGUUGGACAUAGUACGGCGUGAUAAGUGUUCUUCGCCGGUGCCUCGCAAAGAGGGUGGCCGAUCGGGAUGUUGUGCUCCAAACCGUCUUCGGACAAUCUCUGACGACUUGACCUCAAAUCGAGUAAGACUACCCGCUGAACUUAAGCAUAUCAAUAAGCGGAGGAA
This 381-nucleotide unclassified non-coding RNA is filed under the name soil metagenome. Its description in RNAcentral is "partial contains 5.8S ribosomal RNA, internal transcribed spacer 2, and large subunit ribosomal RNA". The stretch from base 1 to 120 matches the Rfam family "5.8S ribosomal RNA", at positions 35 to 154 of the family's 154-position model. The record is from RNAcentral.